CUUCCUCUCUCUCCAUCCAGAUCGCAUCAAGGUUGUUAGCGGAUCAUGGUUCUACCACAGAACAACGCCGCUCACAUGGAGGAGGGGACCUUGGAGGUCGGCAUGGAGUACAGGACCGUCAGUGGGGUUGCUGGUCCUUUGGUUAUCCUGGAAAAAGUUAAGGGCCCGAAGUACCAAGAAAUUGUUAACAUUCGAUUGGGAGACGGAACAACUCGACGUGGUCAGGUUCUGGAAGUUGAUGGGGAAAAGGCCGUUGUUCAGGUUUUCGAAGGGACAUCAGGCAUUGAUAACAAAUUUACCACUGUUCAAUUCACUGGGGAGGUUCUAAAAACUCCAGUUUCACAAGAUAUGCUUGGGCGCAUCUUCAAUGGUUCUGGGAAACCAAUAGAUAACGGACCACCAAUCUUGCCCGAGGCAUACUUAGAUAUUUCGGGAAGUUCAAUUAAUCCCAGUGAGAGGACCUAUCCUGAAGAGAUGAUUCAGACUGGAAUUUCCACCAUUGACGUCAUGAACUCCAUUGCUCGAGGACAGAAAAUACCUCUUUUUUCUGCAGCUGGGCUGCCUCAUAAUGAAAUUGCUGCUCAGAUUUGUCGUCAGGCUGGUCUUGUGAAGCGCCUUGAGAAAUCUGACAAUCUCCUCGAGCACGGAGGAGAGGAUGAUAAUUUUGCAAUCGUGUUCGCAGCUAUGGGAGUAAACAUGG
Molecule: unclassified non-coding RNA, 700 nt
Filed under: Hevea brasiliensis (rubber tree)
Lineage: Eukaryota; Viridiplantae; Streptophyta; Magnoliopsida; Malpighiales; Euphorbiaceae
Source: RNAcentral